ACUCAAAUGAAUUGACGGGGGCCCGCACAAGCGGUGGAGCAUGUGGUUCAAUUCGACGCAACGCGAAGAACCUUACCCAGGCUUGAACAGCGAGUGACCACUCCUGAAAAGGAGCUUCCGCAAGGACACUCGUAGAGGUGCUGCAUGGCUGUCGUCAGCUCGUGUCGUGAGAUGUUGGGUUAAGUCCCGCAACGAGCGCAACCCUUGUUUGCUGUUGCCAUCAGGUUAUGCUGGGCACUCUGCAAAGACUGCCGGUGAUAAACCGGAGGAAGGUGGGGAUGACGUCAAGUCAGCAUGGCCUUUAUGUCUGGGGCUACACACGUGCUACAAUGGCCGGUACAAACCGUUGCAAACUCGCGAGGGUGAGCUAAUCGGAGAAAGCCGGUCUCAGUUCGGAUCGUAGGCUGCAACUCGCCUGCGUGAAGUUGGAAUCGCUAGUAAUCGCGGAUCAGCACGCCGCGGUGAAUACGUUCCCGGGCCUUGCACACACCGCCCGU
Molecule: ribosomal RNA, 497 nt
Filed under: uncultured bacterium
Lineage: Bacteria
Description: partial 16S ribosomal RNA
Rfam family: Bacterial small subunit ribosomal RNA
Source: RNAcentral